AACCCCAAUUCAUUUUUGGGUAAUUUUGGGUCAUCAAUAUACAGAUGCAAACUAAAACUCAAUUAUUCAGCUCUGUAUAAAAAGUUUGCUGUUGUUGGAAAGCUUUGGACGGGAUGUCAAAGCAUACAAUUUUUUCAAAUUUCCGGGAUCAAAGCAAAUUAAUGGACGCGUAUCAAUACUACCUCAGGGAAAUUCAACGAAUUAACGGUAAAUUGCUCGUAAUGGUUCGUUUUAGUGAUGUUGAUAAUUUGUGCAUAGAAAUUUGAUCUGAAGAAUCGGCGGCGGAAAAUAGUUGAAAAGCGAUGAGGAGCAGCAUGAUGGGGUCGUUUUGUGUACUGCAACCCAAUGCUCAUGGAUGGUAAUCGGAAUACGUAUCGAAAUCAUCCCGUAAAAAGAAUGCGAGCCCAAAAAGAAGACUAAUGAAAGCCAAAUUUAAAGAAAUUGUGAAUCAAGGUCAAUAUCCUCCGGAAAAACUUAAACCGGAAGAGAUGUAUCGGCUGAUAAUGUUCUCCAGUUUUGAUUCCUCCUUAGCAUAAGCAGCUUUUGCUGCUAGGUAAUCACAUAGCACCUGGAAAAUAAAUUUCAAGAUGCACAUAUAAAGAAAAAUUGAGGAUAGUGUAACCGGUUUCUGAUUCCUGGGUGUUAUGCUACGUAUAGCAUAGAUAGUCAUCAACAUUUCAAGUUUCUUGCGGAACUGUGGCCAUGAAAUUCGAACACCUUUUUCUAGAGGAUUCGAUGCUGAUGACGGUGAAGUUACACAGGCUGAAAAAAAAAGAAAACAGCAUCUCGGGACCAUGCGAAAGUAUCGAUAAGCCUGAUGGAAUGAAUAUCUCAGAUCGAAAUUGCUUUUGAUGGAGCCUGGCAUAGGAUUAUAAACAAAUGAACAGUCCCCUUGUUUAUUUGACGAUGAAAAUGUACAAUCCCAAUACCGAUGAAGAACUUGAGGUCUUAAAACCAGACAGCUUUUUAUCUUCUUAAGCGACCGAUGAGGUGUGUGCAAAGCGGCAGCACAAGUCUAUGGGGCCUGACGAUGGACGCAGUAAUCCAAUGCUGGAGGAAAAGUUCCGUAACAGGAUAAUCAAGACAUUCCGUUGCUGAAGAUUUUUUGAGUUCAAUAUUUACAAUAUUUUUCA
This is a long non-coding RNA of Uranotaenia lowii, 1133 nucleotides long. RefSeq lists it as uncharacterized. The record is from RefSeq and is a predicted model, not a curated record. Lineage: Eukaryota; Metazoa; Arthropoda; Insecta; Diptera; Culicidae. The transcript has 5 exons.